This 251-nucleotide ribosomal RNA is filed under the name uncultured bacterium. RNAcentral describes it as "partial 16S ribosomal RNA". It matches the Rfam family "Bacterial small subunit ribosomal RNA", at positions 100 to 353 of the family's 1533-position model. The record is from RNAcentral.
GACGGGUGAGUAAUGUCUGGGAAACUGCCUGAUGGAGGGGGAUAACUACUGGAAACGGUAGCUAAUACCGCAUAAUGUCGCAAGACCAAAGAGGGGGACCUUCGGGCCUCUUGCCAUCGGAUGUGCCCAGAUGGGAUUAGCUAGUAGGUGGGGUAACGGCUCACCUAGGCGACGAUCCCUAGCUGGUCUGAGAGGAUGACCAGCCACACUGGAACUGAGACACGGUCCAGACUCCUACGGGAGGCAGCAUG